ACAAGCGGUGGAGUAUGUGGUUUAAUUCGAUGCAACGCGAAGAACCUUACCUGGUCUUGACAUCCCGGAGACCCUUAGGAAACUAGGGGGUGCUUCCAUCUGGAAGAAUCUGGAGACAGGUGCUGCAUGGCUGUCGUCAGCUCGUGUCGUGAGAUGUUGGGUUAAGUCCCACAACGAGCGCAACCCUUGCCUUUAGUUGCCAGCAGUUCGGCUGGGCACUCUAAAGGGACUGCCGGUGUUAAACCGGAGGAAGGUGGGGAUGACGUCAAGUCCUCAUGGCCUUUAUGACCAGGGCUACACACGUACUACAAUGGCCGAUACAAAGGGCAGCGACACUGCGAGGUGAAGCCAAUCCCGUAAAAUCGGUCUCAGUCCGGAUUGGAGUCUGCAACUCGACUCCAUGAAGUUGGAAUCGCUAGUAAUCGUGGAUCAGCAUGCCACGGUGAAUACGUUCCCGGGCCUU
This 463-nucleotide ribosomal RNA is filed under the name uncultured Desulfobulbus sp. RNAcentral's name for it is "bacterial SSU rRNA". It matches the Rfam family "Bacterial small subunit ribosomal RNA", at positions 925 to 1382 of the family's 1533-position model. The record is from RNAcentral. Lineage: Bacteria; Pseudomonadati; Thermodesulfobacteriota; Desulfobulbia; Desulfobulbales; Desulfobulbaceae.